UACGUAGGGCGCAAGCGUUGUCCGGAAUUACUGGGCGUAAAGGGCUCGUAGGCGGCCAACUAAGUCACACGUGAAAUCCCUCAGCUUAACUGGGGAACUGCGUGUGAUACUGGAUGGCUUGGAUUUGGGAGAGGGAUGCGGAAUUCCAGGUGUAGCGGUGAAAUGCGUAGAUAUCUGGAGGAACACCGGUGGCGAAGGCGGCAUCCUGGACCAAUAUUGACGCUGAGGAGCGAAAGCCAGGGGAGCAAACGGG
This 253-nucleotide ribosomal RNA is filed under the name uncultured bacterium. Its description in RNAcentral is "partial 16S ribosomal RNA". It matches the Rfam family "Bacterial small subunit ribosomal RNA", at positions 524 to 776 of the family's 1533-position model. The record is from RNAcentral.